UGCCUGUCGUUUUUUCAACAAUGGUAUCAGAGCCUAGGUUCUAUUAUAACAUGUAUAUGUAAGCAUGUAGAAUUAAAAUUAUGAUUUUGAUUGUAGCAUAAUUUGAUUACGAUAAGAUCUGGCAUGAUUUAGAUUAGAUCUAAAUUUUUCAUAUGUGAUAUGAUUAGAUUAGAAGCCUAUUAGCCAAGUAAUCGGAUUGAACAUUCAUGGCCGUCCAAUCAUAGGAGAAAGUAGGGUUUCAUAACCCUCUCCUCCCAUCCUAUGGGGAUCUCCUAUGGCGUGUAAGGAUGCUACUGGCUCAUGAAGAUAAAAUACGAAAAAGUUCAAAACUUACUUUUCUGUAAAAUCUUAGUUUUUGAAAUCCUAGGUUUUGGUUGGAUGUGAUACAAAAUGAAUGAAAAGUGAAUUAUCUAAUCUAAAGAAUUAAAAAUUAUUUUAAUCAAGAAAAAUAAAAUCUAAAAUCAUAAAAUCUUCAUAUAUGAUCUAAAAAUUGAUUUAUGAUUGAUUUUAUUUCAGAAUAUGCAAAGUUUUUAUGUGCUGAAACUC
This 546-nucleotide long non-coding RNA is filed under the name Elaeis guineensis (African oil palm). RNAcentral describes it as "long non-coding RNA (EGUI_LNC044039)". Lineage: Eukaryota; Viridiplantae; Streptophyta; Magnoliopsida; Arecales; Arecaceae. The record is from RNAcentral.